Molecule: ribosomal RNA, 484 nt
Filed under: uncultured bacterium
Lineage: Bacteria
Description: partial 16S ribosomal RNA
Rfam family: Bacterial small subunit ribosomal RNA
Source: RNAcentral
AUUGAACGCUGGCGGCAUGCUUUACACAUGCAAGUCGAACGGCAGCGCGGGCUUCGGCCUGGCGGCGAGUGGCGAACGGGUGAGUAAUGCAUCGGAACGUGCCCAGUAGUGGGGGAUAGCCCGGCGAAAGCCGGAUUAAUACCGCAUACGACCUGAGGGUGAAAGCGGGGGACCGAAAGGCCUCGCGCUAUUGGAGCGGCCGAGGUCGGAUUAGCUAGUUGGUGGGGUAAAGGCUUACCAAGGCGACGAUCCGUAGCUGGUCUGAGAGGACGACCAGCCACACUGGGACUGAGACACGGCCCAGACUCCUACGGGAGGCAGCAGUGGGGAAUUUUGGACAAUGGGGGCAACCCUGAUCCAGCCAUGCCGCGUGCGGGAAGAAGGCCUUCGGGUUGUAAAACGCUUUUGUUCGGGAAGAAAUCCUCUGGGCUAAUACCCCGGGGGGAUGACGGUACCGGAAGAAUAAGCACCGGCUAACUACGUG